RNAcentral lists this ribosomal RNA (440 nucleotides) under uncultured bacterium. RNAcentral's name for it is "partial 16S ribosomal RNA". It matches the Rfam family "Bacterial small subunit ribosomal RNA", at positions 338 to 795 of the family's 1533-position model. The record is from RNAcentral.
CCUACGGGAGGCAGCAGUAGGGAAUAUUGCGCAAUGGGGGAAACCCUGAAGCAGCAACGCCGCGUGGGGGAUGAAGGUUUUCGGAUUGUAAACCUCUGUUGUUAGAGAAGAUAAUGACGGUAUCUAACGAAUAAGCACCGGCUAACUCCGUGCCAGCAGCCGCGGUAAUACGGAGGGUGCAAGCGUUAGUCGGAAUCAAUGGGCGUAAAGAGCGCGUAGGCGGGAGAGCAAGUCAGAUGUGAAAUCCUAUGGCUUAACCAUGGAACUGCAUUUGAAACUGGUAAUCUAGAGUGCAGGAGAGGUAAGUGGAAUUCUUGGUGUAGGGGUAAAAUGCGUAGAGAUCAAGAGGAACACUCGUUGCGAAGGCGACCUGCUGGAACGUAACUGACGCUGAUGCGCGAAAGCGUGGGGAGCAAACAGGAUUAGAUACCCGAGUAGUC